This is a long non-coding RNA of Raphanus sativus (radish), 1833 nucleotides long. RefSeq lists it as uncharacterized. Lineage: Eukaryota; Viridiplantae; Streptophyta; Magnoliopsida; Brassicales; Brassicaceae. The record is from RefSeq and is a predicted model, not a curated record. The transcript is spliced from 8 exons.
CGUAGUUUUGGAAAGUGAAAAGGGAACGGCUUUACAAUCUAGGUCGAGAGCAAUGAUAAUACUCCCUCACCAAUCUCAACCAUCCGUUUGAGUUUACAAAAUAGUAUCAACCGUUGAAUUUAUGUUUAUAUCGGAAAAUUGCAUCACUCUCUGAGACUCUAAUGGGAUAGUGGUACCCAAACCCCUAGAAUGUUAUAAUCAGGUCUAGCGGCUCCUGGAACGAGGAGCAAGCGGUUGAGAGAAUUGAGGAGUUCAAGCUCUAUCGAUGGUGAAGCUAGCUUACGUUAGGAUUCUGAGCUUACGGUUGUUGGAGGUGUAAAAAGAGGAGAUGAAGCUUUACAGGAGAGGAUUUCACCUUCUGGUUUGUCAGGUUUUCUAAUUCUCAAUCUCUGUUUUGAUUAUCAAACAAUCCAAACCAAAUGUGAGCAAUGCAAUUUCAGUUUUUUUUUUUUUUAAUGAAAGCUGUGGUCUUUUGUAGAGUUUGUCAUAUCUUCAAAGUUUUGGGUCUCUAAUUCCAAAAUUUGCAUUUACACAAUUAUUGAUGGCAUAGUGACAGACACAUGGAUAUCUUUGCCAUCGUUAGCAGCUUCCAUCAUUGGGAGCUCUCCACGUUUGGAUCUGGAUCUUGGCCAGUGACCACUACGAAAGCUUUGCGAUAUGAGAUUGUGACCAGUGCGGUUGGAGUUGAAGAUUCACCUGAAGAAGUAAAAAGAAUCGGGAUAACAUAAAGCUGUUGAAGCUAAAGAGUACUGGAUUUUGGCUUAUUGAACUGAAGAACAACGAGAUUUCAGAUGAUGAGGCAAAUGAGCGAGAUGAAGGUGGUCUCAAGUAUCUUAAGGAUAUGAACUAGAACAUGGCUGAAGAGCCAAAUGGGCCCAAGCUUGAGUUUUCCUUAGAUCAGAACCCUUACUUCAAGAGUACUGUCUUGACCAAGAUAAUGGGAUUCCUGUCACUGUCUUCCAACUGCAAGUCGCAGGGUAAGAGAGAGGGAGGAUCUGAAAGCUCUGAUUGUUUUUUCUCAUUUUAAUUUCUAUUUAGAGGUAAGAACCAAUUAUAGUUUUAUGGGUUUAGUGGUCUACCUGUUGUCUUCAUGAUUUUCAUCAGGACACUGGUCUGUUAGUCCAUGUAAAUGUGUAUGAGCUUCUGCAUAGCACACCAAAAAUGUCGGAGGAACGUAAGUCUCUCAAAAGCGUUGAGUGGUCUAUAUCAGAUCGGCUGCAAUGCCUAAAUGAUGGUAACCAAUAUAUCUCCUUUUUGAGAAAAAUAAAGCCCAUUUCUUUGACCACUUCUUGGUUGAUUGCUGUCUCUCGGUGGCUUAUACACAUUGCUAUAACAAGUAAGAGCUUCUGCAAAUCGUCUGCAAUCAAGGAAAGCUUUGUGUGAGCAGGCCUGUGUGUUAAGUCUCUUCAGUGAUCUCUUUGACUUUCUUAUGUUCGAUUCACACAAGUAUUGGUCUUUCACAAAAAGACUCAUUCACAUUAUUACAUGUUCUGGUGUGAUUGUGACUCUCCCUCACUCUCUCGAUGCACAUGGCUACACUUUUCUUUGCUGUGAUUGAGAUGUUGGUACACACAAUAACUCAUAGGAAAAUCAGGGGAAUGAUCAGCAUGCGCUGCAUCUUCUGCUUCAAAUAUCAGAGACCAAUGAGGAAAGAGGUUUAGAGACAUCAAUUGGUAGAUGCAUACAAUAAGUUUUGUUUAUUCUUUGAUUUUUGGGUUUGAUUGGUUUUAGGAAAUGGAAUCCUUUCUCUCAGAACAUUAUAAGCAGAUUGUAAUGUCAGAUGGCUUGAUGAUUCUUGGAUUUUGAAACCAGAAAUUUAUAUUCCUGCCAAAA